UUCUUUGUUUCUGGGUCUGUGUCGUACAAAAGAGGCAGAACCAAUGAGAUGCGCAAGUGAGAGUGAAAAUCAAUGGCAGAAUCUAACACCAGCUGGAUUCGGGAAGGAGUUUCGCAUCUUGAGCUGCAAAUUCACUUGGAAAAUGGAUUGGAUCAAUAAGGACAAAAAUCUGCUUUGAGUUCAAGUAGAAUAUGCGCCGGCCACGAUGUAACCCAGGAAAUUCAGGUUUGAAGUCUAAAUUUGUGCAUCAGGUGGACGACGGUGUUGAUAGUGACCCUUGCCGGCAACUUUGAUAUUAGAACAGAAUUGCCUCUGAAUCCCCAGUGCCUCCCCUCACUCCGAAUCCUGUCUACGUCCAUGAUUGAUAGUGACCCUGGCCAGCGCCUUUAAUAUUUGUAUCAGAGGUUGAUAUGUUAACCAGCUGUGCUUGCUUGUUUUGUUUUCAUCUGUAGGUUGUUUAAUCACAGCGGCGAUCAUUGUGAUGAUAUAACUUAACUUAGAGGGUCUCAACUCUCAAGCUUAUCAGAAGGAGACAAGAAGACGAGACUGAGUAGUGAAGGUGAAAUAAUGAUUAGAGGGGAAAUGUAUUCAUGGCCAUACAAGAAGACAAUCACUUAGCUAGUGUCAACAAGGUUUUUGAUACAAUGAUAAUGGACUUUAGUUGUUAAGAAGCUUUGCUUAGCUUUUCUUUGUAUUUACAGGAUUACUUGUUUAGCGUGCAUGAGAUAUAUUGUCUGUUGUAAGUGAAGCUUUUAAGAUUCAGGAGAUCAAGAAUAAGACAGUGUCUAUAAA
Long non-coding RNA from Tripterygium wilfordii, 792 nucleotides. RefSeq lists it as uncharacterized. The record is from RefSeq and is a predicted model, not a curated record. NCBI's taxonomy places the organism in Eukaryota, Viridiplantae, Streptophyta, Magnoliopsida, Celastrales, Celastraceae. The transcript has 2 exons.